GACGAACGCUGGCGGCGUGCUUAACACAUGCAAGUCGAACGGAAAGGCCCUGCUUUUGUGGGGUGCUCGAGUGGCGAACGGGUGAGUAACACGUGAGUAACCUGCCCUUGACUUUGGGAUAACUUCAGGAAACUGGGGCUAAUACCGGAUAGGAGCUCCUGCUGCAUGGUGGGGGCUGGAAAGUUUCGGCGGUUGGGGAUGGACUCGCGGCUUAUCAGCUUGUUGGUGGGGUAGUGGCUUACCAAGGCUUUGACGGGUAGCCGGCCUGAGAGGGUGACCGGCCACAUUGGGCCUGAGAUACGGCCCAGACUCCUACGGGAGGCAGCAGUGGGGAAUAUUGCACAAUGGGCGGAAGCCUGAUGCAGCAACGCCGCGUGCGGGAUGACGGCCUUCGGGUUGUAAACCGCUUUCGCCUGUGACGAAGCGUGAGUGACGGUAAUGGGUAAAGAAGCACCGGCUAACUACGUG
Molecule: ribosomal RNA, 468 nt
Filed under: uncultured bacterium
Lineage: Bacteria
Description: partial 16S ribosomal RNA
Rfam family: Bacterial small subunit ribosomal RNA
Source: RNAcentral